UCCGUUUAUAACUUCAAUCACAUCUUUCUCCGUUUUAGUUUGAUAUGUUUUCUGAAAAAUGUAUGAUGAAUAAUGAUAGAUUGUCUCUUCUUUCAGAACACAACUUACCAAGGCAUAUAGACUGCUAAUGUUCUUUUUGAAGUUUUAAAGGCUGUUAACAUGACCCAAUCUAUGGAAGUUGAUCGAGAGACUUUGGAGACACGAGAUAAAAUUGGUGAAAAGACGGAGAUCAUAGUCCCUUUCAAUGUUCUUCCGCUCGAUCCUGAUAGUGCAAAUCAAGUGAUAAUGAGAUUUCCCGAGAUCCAAGCUGCUGUAUUUUCUCUUCAUAACACUAGGGGUAUCUAUACACAUGGGUGAGAUUCUAGCCCAUUUAACAUGAUAUCGAAACUUGAUUUUGCUAUAAUAAAAAUUAUAGUCUUUUGAGUUUGCUUUUUGAAUUGCAACUUAUAACUAUACAU
Long non-coding RNA from Vicia villosa (hairy vetch), 458 nucleotides. RefSeq lists it as uncharacterized. NCBI's taxonomy places the organism in Eukaryota, Viridiplantae, Streptophyta, Magnoliopsida, Fabales, Fabaceae. The record is from RefSeq and is a predicted model, not a curated record. The transcript has 3 exons.